Molecule: ribosomal RNA, 253 nt
Filed under: uncultured bacterium
Lineage: Bacteria
Description: partial 16S ribosomal RNA
Rfam family: Bacterial small subunit ribosomal RNA
Source: RNAcentral
UACAGAGGGAGCAAGCGUUGUUCGGAAUUACUGGGCGUAAAGGGCGCGUAGGCGGUUCGAUAAGUCCCGUGUGAAAUCCCUCGGCUCAACUGAGGAAUGGCACGGGAAACUGACGGGCUUGAGUUCGGGAGAGGGAAGCGGAAUUCCGGGUGUAGCGGUGAAAUGCGUAGAUAUCAGGAGGAACACCGGUGGUGUAGACGGCUUUCUGGACCGUAACUGACGCUGAGACACGAAAGCGUGGGUAGCAAACAGG